GAUGAACGCUGGCGGCGUGCCUAAUACAUGCAAGUCGAGCGAACAGAUAAGGAGCUUGCUCCUUUGACGUUAGCGGCGGACGGGUGAGUAACACGUGGGUAACCUACCUAUAAGACUGGGAUAACUUCGGGAAACCGGAGCUAAUACCGGAUAACAUUUGGAACCGCAUGGUUCUAAAGUGAAAGAUGGUUUUGCUAUCACUUAUAGAUGGACCCGCGCCGUAUUAGCUAGUUGGUAAGGUAACGGCUUACCAAGGCGACGAUACGUAGCCGACCUGAGAGGGUGAUCGGCCACACUGGAACUGAGACACGGUCCAGACUCCUACGGGAGGCAGCAGUAGGGAAUCUUCCGCAAUGGGCGAAAGCCUGACGGAGCAACGCCGCGUGAGUGAUGAAGGGUUUCGGCUCGUAAAACUCUGUUAUUAGGGAAGAACAAAUGUGUAAGUAACUGUGCACGUCUCGACGGUACCUAAUCAGAAAGCCACGGCUAACUACGUG
RNAcentral lists this ribosomal RNA (497 nucleotides) under uncultured bacterium. RNAcentral's name for it is "partial 16S ribosomal RNA". It matches the Rfam family "Bacterial small subunit ribosomal RNA", at positions 28 to 507 of the family's 1533-position model. The record is from RNAcentral.